GCGAACGCUGGCGGCAGGCUUAACACAUGCAAGUCGAGCGGGCAUCCUUGUGGUGUCAGCGGCAGACGGGUGAGUAACGCGUGGGAACGUGCCCUUCGGUUCGGAAUAACUCAGGGAAACUUGAGCUAAUACCGGAUACGUGCGAGAGCAGAAAGGUUUAUCUGCCGAAGGAUCGGCCCGCGUCUGAUUAGCUAGUUGGUGAGGUUAUGGCUCACCAAGGCGACGAUCAGUAGCUGGUCUGAGAGGAUGAUCAGCCACACUGGGACUGAGACACGGCCCAGACUCCUACGGGAGGCAGCAGUGGGGAAUAUUGGACAAUGGGGGCAACCCUGAUCCAGCCAUGCCGCGUGAGUGAUGACGGCCUUAGGGUUGUAAAGCUCUUUUCUCCGGGACCAUAAUGACGGUACCGGAGGAAUAAGCCCCGGCUAACUUCGUG
This 436-nucleotide ribosomal RNA is filed under the name uncultured bacterium. RNAcentral's name for it is "partial 16S ribosomal RNA". It matches the Rfam family "Bacterial small subunit ribosomal RNA", at positions 29 to 507 of the family's 1533-position model. The record is from RNAcentral.